Pleomassaria siparia CBS 279.74 is the source of this 108-nucleotide non-coding RNA. The record is from the annotation of a GenBank genome assembly. Lineage: Eukaryota; Fungi; Ascomycota; Dothideomycetes; Pleosporales; Pleomassariaceae.
UCCUCCGUGGCGCAAUUGGCUAGCGCGUCCGACUGUUAACAUUCGACAAUAGCAAUAUUAGCCGAGUUAGCGAUCGGGAGGUUCGUGGUUCGAGCCCACGCGGGGGAG